ACACGUACAUGGCAGAGGAAAUACUGCAGUCCCAAGAGUGGCCUUCCCAGGGCGCGGCUCGCCCGGUGCACUCCGGGCGCGCUGAGCCCUGCGGUUCCCCAGCUGUGGGAAGCUCCGCUGCACAACUUGUGGUAGUGGGGGCUGCAUCUGCACUCCUCCU
Small nuclear RNA from Octodon degus (degu), 160 nucleotides. Its record names the gene U1. It matches the Rfam family "U1 spliceosomal RNA". Rfam says of the family: U1 is a small nuclear RNA (snRNA) component of the spliceosome (involved in pre-mRNA splicing). Its 5' end forms complementary base pairs with the 5' splice junction, thus defining the 5' donor site of an intron. There are significant differences in sequence and secondary structure between metazoan and yeast U1 snRNAs, the latter being much longer (568 nucleotides as compared to 164 nucleotides in human). The record is from Ensembl. Lineage: Eukaryota; Metazoa; Chordata; Mammalia; Rodentia; Octodontidae.